RNAcentral lists this ribosomal RNA (253 nucleotides) under uncultured bacterium. RNAcentral describes it as "partial 16S ribosomal RNA". It matches the Rfam family "Bacterial small subunit ribosomal RNA", at positions 524 to 776 of the family's 1533-position model. The record is from RNAcentral.
UACAGAGGUCUCGAGCGUUAGGCGGAAUCACUGGGCUUAAAGCGUGUGUAGGCGGUUCGGUAAGUACCUUGUGAAAUCCCACAGCUUAACUGUGGAACUGCUUGGUAUACUGCCAGUCUUGAGCCAGCUAGGGGCUACCGGAACAAAUGGUGGAGCGGUGAAAUGCGUAGAUAUCAUUUGGAACGCCAAUGGUGAAAACAGGUAGCUGGGGCUGUGCUGACGCUGAGACGCGAAAGCCAGGGGAGCGAACGGG